GAUGAACGCUGGCGGCGUGCCUAAUACAUGCAAGUCGAGCGAACGGACGAGAAGCUUGCUUCUCUGAUGUUAGCGGCGGACGGGUGAGUAACACGUGGAUAACCUACCUAUAAGACUGGGAUAACUUCGGGAAACCGGAGCUAAUACCGGAUAAUAUUUUGAACCGCAUGGUUCAAAAGUGAAAGACGGUCUUGCUGUCACUUAUAGAUGGAUCCGCGCUGCAUUAGCUAGUUGGUAAGGUAACGGCUUACCAAGGCAACGAUGCAUAGCCGACCUGAGAGGGAGACCGGGUACAGAGGAAUAGGGGAGGGAGCAGUAGGCAAACGUGAGGCAGGGGUGGGAACUAGACGGAGAAACGCGGAGUGAGGGAGGAGGGACUCCGGGUCGGAAAAGACUGCUUUUGGGGAAGAAAACACGUGUAAGUGAGAGGGCACAUCAGUAAGGUAACUGAGCAGAGAGACACGGGUUAAUUAGGG
Molecule: ribosomal RNA, 476 nt
Filed under: uncultured bacterium
Lineage: Bacteria
Description: partial 16S ribosomal RNA
Rfam family: Bacterial small subunit ribosomal RNA
Source: RNAcentral